Rhopilema esculentum is the source of this 402-nucleotide non-coding RNA. The record is from RefSeq and is a predicted model, not a curated record. Lineage: Eukaryota; Metazoa; Cnidaria; Scyphozoa; Rhizostomeae; Rhizostomatidae.
UCUACGUGCACUGCUGGUUGGCAUUCCUUUUCGAACUCGAAGCGGUCGUCGACGGUCGGUGUCGUGUGCUACAGCUACAGCUCCAGUAGUCAAUCGUGCUGGGUGCUCUCGACAGACCUCAGUAGCUACGCACGCUGCUGCCCGUUUUUUGGUUUUGCAAUGGCUGCUGGCUGUUCCUGUUCUUCACUGGCAUCAGAAUCGAUGGCAUGCGAAUACAAAUAAACGAUCGGAUUCGCUGACUUUUUGGUUCAACAAAUCAAAGAUCGUUUCAAGCAAUAAUUAUGACCCAGACGUGAUUCUUGACUGUGGAGAAAAGGACUAAAGUUAUAUAGAUUAGCUGUUGUCCGUAAAUUGUAUUUUGUUAAUUUGUUGUUGGAGUAAGAAUCAUUUCUGAUGCACGAA